AUUCGUUCCGGACCGUGGCGCUAGUAGAUGACGCCCGCGUGAGUAUUAGUCUUGGUUGGGUGGGUAAUGGCCUACCAAGGCAACGAUCUCUAGCUGGUCUGAGAGGACGAUCAGCCACACUGGGACUGAGACACGGCCCAGACUCCUACGGGAGGCAGCAGGUGGGGAAUAUUGGACAAUGGGCGAAAGCCUGAUCCAGCAAUGCCGCGUGUGUGAAGAAGGCCUGAGGGUUGUAAAGCACUUUCAAUCGUGAAGAAAAGUUGCAGGCUAAUACCCUGUGACCUUGACGUUAACGAUACAAGAAGCACCGGCUAACUCCGUG
RNAcentral lists this ribosomal RNA (322 nucleotides) under uncultured bacterium. RNAcentral describes it as "bacterial SSU rRNA". It matches the Rfam family "Bacterial small subunit ribosomal RNA", at positions 202 to 507 of the family's 1533-position model. The record is from RNAcentral.